This 643-nucleotide ribosomal RNA is filed under the name uncultured Actinomycetes bacterium. RNAcentral describes it as "bacterial SSU rRNA". It matches the Rfam family "Bacterial small subunit ribosomal RNA", at positions 232 to 885 of the family's 1533-position model. Lineage: Bacteria; Bacillati; Actinomycetota; Actinomycetes. The record is from RNAcentral.
CGCGGCCUAUCAGCUUGUUGGUGAGGUAAUGGCUCACCAAGGCGACGACGGGUAGCCGGCCUGAGAGGGCGACUGGCCACACUGGGACUGAGACACGGCCCAGACUCCUACGGGAGGCAGCAAUAGGGAAUAUUGCACAAUGGGCGAAAGCCUGAUGCAGCGACGCCGCGUGAGGGAUGACGGCCUUCGGGUUGUAAACCUCUUUCAGCAGGGAAGAAGCGAAAGUGACGGUACCUGCAGAAGAAGCACCGGCUAACUACGUGCCAGCAGCCGCGGUAAUACGUAGGGUGCGAGCGUUGUCCGGAAUUAUUGGGCGUAAAGAGCUUGUAGGCGGUUUGUCGCGUCUGCUGUGAAGAUCCGGGGCUCAACCCCGGACUUGCAGUGGGUACGGGCAGACUAGAGUGUGGUAGGGGAGACUGGAAUUCCUGGUGUAGCGGUGACAUGCGCAGAUAUCAGGAGGAACACCGAUGGCGAAGGCAGGUCUCUGGGCCACUACUGACGCUGAGAAGCGAAAGCAUGGGGAGCGAACAGGAUUAGAUACCCUGGUAGUCCAUGCCGUAAACGGUGGGCACUAGAUGUGGGGGCCAUUCCAUGGUUUCCGCGUCGCAGCUAACGCAUUAAGUGCCCCGCCUGGGGAGUACGG